AGUGAGCAAAACCCUCUCAGAAUCUCCCAACGGAUAACCUCACAUCUCGUUGGUCAGAGUUUUAUCACAUGCGCAUGAUUAACUCAACCCCUAGUAAAAAAUAACAGGACUAUCACAAUCAGCUUAAAGUGGACAUAAAUACCUCUCUGCCCAAAGUAUUUAACUGUUUGGUGAUUAAAAAUUUUAACUGGUAUUCAUACCUACAUUAUACUGGUGUCUAUAACUGAUCCAUAUGCUGCCAUUGCUACCACAGCUCUCACGUGUGAUGUCCAAGCAGGAAGCAGCUCCAUGUGUGAUCUGUGUAUCAGCUGUCAAUCUGCUACGCUGGUCUCCAGGAAUCUAGUCAGAUUCAAACCUGCUCCAUGUGUUUCAUCAUUCUGGAACCUGGGACCUGGAAGUGCUCUUCUUAUGAAGAUCACAGGAAAGCAGAUGAGUAAACCAAACUGUGCAAGCACACUUAAGCUCUCUGCUGCAACAUGUUUGCUAAUACUCAAUUCAAUAUUAUUGAAAACGAGUAAGGAAACAACAUGA
Molecule: long non-coding RNA, 531 nt
Filed under: Macaca mulatta (Rhesus monkey)
Lineage: Eukaryota; Metazoa; Chordata; Mammalia; Primates; Cercopithecidae
Description: lncRNA (ENSMMUG00000053600.1)
Source: RNAcentral